UGUCCCAAUUUUCUUCGACCCUUUAACCUAUUUUAAAUUUGUUGGCCUAAAUAUCCCGAAAUGCCCAGCAGCAGUUUACACUGAACUUCAAUCGUCGCCGGUAAUUCUCUUCCGCCUCCGCUGCUCAGAAUCCCUUCGUUUUCGGCCUUCGUCAUCUCAUUCACCUGCUGCUCACACUCGCCACUCCCAAGCAAUCUACUCUCACUCUUCUUCUUCACCUUUCUCCCUCUCAUUUGUCUGUUGACAACACUCCUCUCCCCAUUUCCACACGCUAUUGAAGUAAAUUGAAGUUUGAAGUUGCUAUUCAUCACUUUCAAAUGGAAGAAUCUCCCACCCUUGGCAAGCGGAAAGACUCUGAAGAAGAAUCAGCUGUCGCAGAAACUGGCAACAACCAAGAAACGAGCUCCAAUAAGCGACCCAAGGAAUCGAAAAACCUGGAAGAUGAGAAGGCAACUCCGAGUCAGGAAACUGUCUCCAACCGACGCAGUUUAGCGCGGACUUGCGUUCAUGAAGUAGCGGUCCCGGCUGGGUACUCUUCUACAAAAGACGAGUCGAUUCAUGGAACCCUAUCAAAUCCAGUUUACAAUGGUACAAUGGCGAAAACGUACCCGUUUACACUCGACCCAUUUCAGCAGGUAUCGGUUUCUUGCUUAGAACGAAAUGAAUCUAUUUUGGUUUCUGCUCACACUUCAGCUGGAAAAACUGCGGUUGCUGAAUAUGCAAUUGCAAUGGCUUUUAGAGACAAGCAGAGGGUUAUAUAUACUUCCCCACUGAAGGCUUUGAGUAAUCAGAAGUAUAGGGAACUGAGUCAAGAGUUUAAAGAUGUGGGACUGAUGACUGGGGAUGUUACUCUUUCGCCUAAUGCUAGUUGUUUAGUCAUGACGACGGAGAUACUUAGGGGGAUGCUUUACAGGGGUUCGGAAGUUUUGAAGGAAGUAGCAUGGGUAAUUUUUGAUGAAAUUCAUUAUAUGAGAGAUCGGGAAAGAGGUGUUGUUUGGGAAGAGAGUAUAAUAUUUUUACCACCGGCUAUCAAGAUGGUCUUCCUUUCUGCAACAAUGUCCAAUGCCACGGAGUUUGCUGAGUGGAUAUGUAAUAUACACAAGCAGCCUUGUCAUGUGGUGUACACUGAUUUUCGACCAACUCCCUUGCAACAUUAUGUUUUUCCUGCGGGUGGCAAUGGGUUGUAUCUUGUGGUUGAUGAAAAUGAACAGUUCAGGGAGGAUAAUUUUCUGAAGUUGCAGGAUACAUUUGCUAAACAAAAACAGAUUGUUGGCCACAGGACUGCAAAUGGGAAAUCUAGUGGGAGAAUUGCUAAAGGUGGCAGUGCUUCUGGAGGUUCGGACAUUUAUAAAAUUGUUAAGAUGAUUAUGGAGCGGAAUUUCCAACCAGUCAUUGUCUUCAGUUUCAGUAGAAGAGAAUGUGAACAACAUGCAAUGUCCAUGUCCAAACUUGACUUUAAUACCCAAGAAGAAAAGGACAUGGUGGAACAUAUUUUCAGAAAUGCAAUUCUUUGCUUGAAUGAAGAAGAUAGAGAACUGCCUGCAAUUGAGUUAAUGUUACCUCUUCUCCAAAGAGGUAUUGCUGUUCAUCAUUCUGGGCUUCUUCCAGUAAUUAAAGAAUUAGUUGAGCUCCUUUUUCAGGAAGGUCUUGUUAAGGCCCUUUUUGCCACAGAAACUUUUGCCAUGGGUCUGAACAUGCCAGCAAAAACAGUUGUCUUCACUGCCUUUAAAAAGUGGGAUGGUGAUAGUCACCGAUUUAUUGGAUCUGGUGAGUACAUUCAGAUGAGUGGAAGGGCUGGACGCCGUGGAAAAGAUGAGAGGGGUAUAUGUAUUAUAAUGAUCGAUGAGCAGAUGGAGAUGGGAACAAUUAAAGAUAUGAUUUUGGGCAAACCAGCUCCUCUUGUUAGUACGUUCAGACUGAGCUACUACUCAAUUUUAAAUUUAAUGAGCCGGGCAGAAGGCCAGUUUACAGCUGAGCAUGUUAUUAGACACUCAUUUCAUCAGUUUCAGCACGAGAAGGCAUUGCCUGAUAUUGGGAAAAGAGUGUCAAAGUUAGAGGAGGAAGCUGCCACACUUGAUGCUUCAGGGGAGGCCGAAGUUGCUGAAUACCACAAGUUAAAACUUGAUAUAGCACAACUUGAGAAGAAGAUGAUGUCUGAAAUAACAAGGCCAGAAAGAGUCCUCUAUUUUCUUCUUCCUGGUCGAUUGGUUAAGGUAAGAGAAGGUGGGACAGAUUGGGGUUGGGGAGUUGUAGUCAAUGUUGUUAAAAAGCCUUCAGCUGGGUUAGGCAUCUUGCCUUCACGUGGUGGUGCAUAUAUAGUGGAUACCUUACUCCAAUGCUCUCCUUGUCUAAGCGAGAAUAAUUCACGACCAAAACCUUGUCCACCCCGUCCUGGAGAAAAGGGUGAAAUGCACGUGGUCCCAGUUCAGCUGCCUCUAAUUUCAGCCUUGAGCAAACUCAGAAUAUCUAUUCCUUCUGAUCUCAGACCCGUGGAAGCAAGGGAAAGUAUACUGCUCGCAUUGGAAGAGCUGGGCACUCGUUUUCCACAAGGUUUUCCGAAAUUGAAUCCAGUCAAGGACAUGAGUAUAGAAGAUCCAGAAAUUGUUGAGUUGGUGAAUCAGAUCGAGGAACUUGAGCGGAAAUUAUAUGCUCAUCCUCUGCAUAAGUCACGUGAAGUGGACCAGAUGAAAUGUUUUCAGAGGAAAGCAGAGGUUAAUCAUGAAAUUCAAAUACUCAAGACCAAAAUGCGUGAUUCUCAGCUUCAAAAAUUUCGUGAUGAACUGAAGAAUCGUUCUCGGGUCUUGAAAAAGCUUGGUCACAUUGAUGCUGAUGGUGUAGUUCAAUUGAAGGGGCGUGCAGCCUGCUUGAUCGACACAGGAGACGAGCUCCUUGUUACUGAAUUAAUGUUUAAUGGGACAUUCAAUGACCUAGAUCAUCAUCAGAUUGCAGCCCUCGCAAGUUGUUUUAUACCAGGAGACAAGUCAAAUGAGCAGAUUCAAUUAAGAACCGAGCUUGCUAGACCGUUACAGCAACUCCAAGAUAGUGCAAGAAGAAUAGCUGAGAUACAACAUGAAUGCAAGUUGGAUAUAAAUGUGGAAGAAUAUGUGGAAUCAACAGUAAGGCCGUAUUUGAUGGAUGUCAUUUACUGUUGGUCAAAGGGAUCAAGUUUCUCAGAGGUGAUUCAAAUGACAGAUAUUUUCGAGGGUAGCAUCAUUCGAAGCGCUAGACGGCUUGAUGAAUUCUUGAAUCAGUUGCGUGCUGCUGCCAAUGCUGUGGGGGAGGUAACCUUAGAGAGCAAGUUUUCUGCAGCCAGUGACAGCCUCCGCAGAGGUAUAAUGUUCGCAAACUCACUCUAUUUAUAGAUUGUCCUCUGCUUUGGUUGCAUCUUCAGGGGUUCAUGAAGCUCGGAGAUUGUGGUUUUCACCAACCAUCUUUCAUAGAGGUGUGGGCAGAAAAUGGAAGAUGCAAAUUCUUUUAGUAUGCUUUGGCGACACAUGCGGGUCGGGUCAACUAGGUAAUGCAUCAAAUCUUUUGAAUUGUGUCGUGCAAUGGAUAGGUCAUUCUCAUCUUCUUCCUCACAUGAGUCACCUUCUUCAACUUUCAAUUUGACCUCUUGUAUAUUGUCAUCUAUUCCACUCAAAAACCAAUUUUUUUUUUUUCAAUUUCGAACAUAUCAUCUACCACGUUGUUUCGUGGUCGACUACAAUUAGGGUUUGGAACCUUUUCGAAGUAAGAUGGCCAUGGGUAUAGUUUUCUUCUGCUUAUGUCAUGUCUUUGCUCUCCACCACCAAUUUCAUUAAUCGAUUGUUCCUCCUCGUCCGGUUCAUGUUGUGCAAUCUCAAAGUUAAUCUCAUUGGUUUUUUUAUCCUUGCUGUCGACAAUUCUUCAAUUUUCUUUUUGUACGGUUGGUCUUCAUUUUUGCAAUGGAUUUCUUUUCCAUUCGUUUCUUGCUCGAUUUCGUAGCCCCAUUGGAUGGAUUCUUGAUUUUCUUGCAUUAAUUCUUUUUCAAGUUCUUGCAAAUGUUCAGAAAGGUGCUCCACGUUUUGAGUCGUCUCUCCCAACAAAUGUUGGAUUUUCUUGGCUCCCUUUUUCAUUUUCUCCAAUAUUUCGGGAUCGAUGUACAAAUUGGAUGUUCUUGAAUAAGUUUCUUCAUGAAAAUUGUUGUAGGACCGAUUUUUGAAUUUUCUCGAACAUGUUUUGAACCUUGGUCGUUCUUCAUAGCACGGAUAGUAAUUUCGGUCCAAAAUGCAUUAGAUCUUCUAUAAAAUUCCAUUCUUGAAUGAUUCUUCAAGCUUCUUCUAAAUUUUCUUGAAUUUAAAGGGUUCCCCCUAGUUAGGCGUGUGUUGUUUGGUAAUGAGCACAACUCACAAAAAUUCCUCUUACGAUCAGCGUCACCAAGAGUUUCCUGGACUUCCACCGGCGACAGUCAGUUCAGCCCAAAUUGGACGCUCUAAUACCAAUUUGAUGUAGCCUAAAGGAGAGAAAAGGAGAGUUCACUCCAAGAAUCACAUCAAGAGUCUUUUUAUUAAUGAGAAUAUGUUCUAAUACAAGGAGGCUCUCUCUAUUUAUAGAGAAUUACAAGAGUUCCAAAACGACAACUAAAAGAGAUUAAAACUAAAUUAGUAAUUAAAAUAUAAUUAAUCAAGGAUUAACCAAGAUUAACUUGAUUUUACCAAAAUAUCCCUAUCCUAUUACAUCAAAGCUUCUAGGUUUUGGUUUUUGAAAAUUAAACUUAUAAAUACUACUUCUAGUAUUCCACCUAUAAGUUUCUUUUUUUUCUUUCUUUUUUCUUUUUUCUUUUUCUUUUUGUCGUCGUCUUCUUUUUUUUUUUAUUAUUUUUUUAUUUUUUUAUUUUUAAAUUUACUUUCUAUCGAUGUUAUAAAAAAUCAAGCAAAGUUUUGGAAAAAAAGGUAGCUUCCAAGAACUUGUUAUUUUUUUUAGAAUUUAACCAAGAAUUUGAAGUGUUUCUUAAUUGAAAAUUGGGAGGAAACAAGUAUAAUGAUUUUGUUUUUAAAUUUUCUAUUAGACUACUUUUUACAUUUUACACUUUUUUGUUUGGUUAAUGAGAAACCAAGCUUUCAUUGAGAAACAAUGAAAGAGUAUAAGAGCAUGCAAAAAAGAAAGCUCACAAAAAAAGACAUAGAUAGCCUAAAGAAUGACUCCAAUCAUGCAAAAUAAUUUCUAUGGAGUAAUUGCAAAAAAGUUCGGUAGGAAACACGUAACAUAGAAAGGAUCAAACAUCGUUUGGAUGAUGCUUCAGCCCUCUAAAGGUCUUAAUGUUCCUCUCCUCUCACCCCAAAGUUCUCACAAAAUACACACACUCGCUUGUCACAAAAAACUUUCCUUUUUAUCAAAAGGUAGGAUGAAAAAGGAACUCCUCGAUCAUCUCUUUGCAGUCUUGAUGUCUAGCCAAUUCAAUACCAAACUUCUCAGAGAAACGGGCCCCAACAACAUAAGCAAAAUCACAACUCCAGAGCAUAUGAUCAAAAUUCUAUUGCAAAGAAUGCAAUACCACGACCCUAUCAAAUUAGGCAACUUCCUUGACACCCUGUCCGAGGCACUAACCCUUCCAUGGAGGACUUGCGGAACAGAUCUUUCAAGGGAGAAGGGUUAACCAAACAAAGGAAGAAGGAUUUACGUGAAAAGUCUUCCUUAGGGAUUGGACACCAAUAGUAAAAGUCCUUUCCCUUCUCCCAAGAGAACACUGAAACUUCCCCAACAAAGAGAGGAGGGGAAUAAUAUCCCUCGUUUCCCUCUAAAGACAACGAACACUGACGGACUCUAAAGCAGAGGCAGGCUGCAUUGACAUAACAGAAUGAGUCUUCAUCGAUGAAAAAUAGUAUAAACAACUAAAAGUAGAGUAGAGAUUCCCCAACCACCCAUCUUCCUAUAAAAACUUUCCCAUCCCCAAAACAGUAAAACAGAGACAAAAAGGGAUUCCCCAAGCAGGGCCUGGUUGCGGGCUCUCAAAUUAUCUAUACCUAAACCCCAAAGAUCCACAGGCUUUGAAACCUCUGCCCAUACAUUUUGAGCACUCGUGAAAUCUUAACCAAUGUCAAAACCACUAAAUGAAAAUUUGAAAAAAAAAACUUCUGUUUUAAAGUUUCACUAGGGUCUAACAGAUAUUUUUAGAAGUUGAUUAUUGAACAAAAAAAAAUGUUAUGAAUGUACAAUAUUUAAAAGCAAAAAGAUUAUCAGACCACCACUAUUUUGGAAACCUUGAAUGUGCUUAAGCUUUCUGUUUGAAAUGAAUACCACUGUGUGUCCAUUACUCUAACCGUUCACAAAUUAGAUGGCUUACUUGAAACUUUCAUUGAGAAACAAUCAACUUUUAUGGUGUGUAGACAUUCUCGGUAGUUUUUUCAUAUUUCAGUUUUAUAGUUGUCUAGAAUUAUGUUAUGAAGAUCUUACCGAGAAAAAGGUUUUGUUCUGAUGAAUUGGUUGUGUUGGAUAUUUGGAGAAGCAUUUAUCUCUGAUAGACUGAAUCACUGGAUUUAAUGGAAAUUAUAUAUUUUUAUUUCCUCGUGACUCUUUCUUCAAUAAUAUUUUCUGUGAUUUAAAACAUUACAGUCCCCCCACCCAAAAAAAAAAAAAAAAAAAAAA
Benincasa hispida (wax gourd) is the source of this 6603-nucleotide RNA transcript. It is a transcript of the gene named RNA helicase, ATP-dependent, SK12/DOB1 protein, with no coding region annotated. The record is from RefSeq and is a predicted model, not a curated record. Lineage: Eukaryota; Viridiplantae; Streptophyta; Magnoliopsida; Cucurbitales; Cucurbitaceae.